CCGUCGCGGCCUACAAGUGUGUGCCCACGGUCGGUGAAAGGAUGCCCAAGCUCACCUUCGCCUUAUGUUCUGGGGCUUAUUAUCGAGAGGACCAAUGACACAGUUCUGCUUCCUCCAAGUAGAUAUCUGUGGACACCUCACAUUCCUCCAUCUUUUUUCAUGAAAUUCUACAAGUGCACAGUUGAGUUAAUCCUCACCGGGUACAUCAA
Erpetoichthys calabaricus (reedfish) is the source of this 209-nucleotide long non-coding RNA. RefSeq lists it as uncharacterized. Lineage: Eukaryota; Metazoa; Chordata; Cladistia; Polypteriformes; Polypteridae. The record is from RefSeq and is a predicted model, not a curated record. The transcript is spliced from 3 exons.